CAGCCGCCGCGGGAAUACAGAGGGUGCGAGCGUUAAUCGGAUUUACUGGGCGUAAAGCGUGCGUAGGCGGCUUCUUAAGUCGGAUGUGAAAUCCCUGAGCUUAACUUAGGAAUUGCAUUCGAUACUGGGAAGCUAGAGUAUGGGAGAGGAUGGUAGAAUUCCAGGUGUAGCGGUGAAAUGCGUAGAGAUCUGGAGGAAUACCGAUGGCGAAGGCAGCCAUCUGGCCUAAUACUGACGCUGAGGUACGAAAGCAUGGGGAGCAAACAGGAUUAGAUACCCCGGUAGUCCCUGUCUUUUAUAC
This 301-nucleotide ribosomal RNA is filed under the name uncultured bacterium. Its description in RNAcentral is "partial 16S ribosomal RNA". It matches the Rfam family "Bacterial small subunit ribosomal RNA", at positions 509 to 809 of the family's 1533-position model. The record is from RNAcentral.